RNAcentral lists this unclassified non-coding RNA (392 nucleotides) under soil metagenome. RNAcentral describes it as "partial contains 5.8S ribosomal RNA, internal transcribed spacer 2, and large subunit ribosomal RNA". The stretch from base 1 to 122 matches the Rfam family "5.8S ribosomal RNA", at positions 35 to 154 of the family's 154-position model. The record is from RNAcentral.
GAUGAAGAACGUAGUGAAAUGCGAUACUUGGUGUGAAUUGCAGAAUCCUGUGAACCAUCGAGUCUUUGAACGCAAGUUGCGCCCGAAGCCAUUAGGCCGAGGGCACGCCUGCCUGGGCGUCACACGUCGUUGCCCCCCCCAUCUACUCCUUCGGGAUUGCGGGGGGCGGAUGAUGGCCUCCCGUGCGCCUCGUCGCGCGGUUGGCAUAAAUGCCAAGUCCUCGGCGACGCACGCCACGACAAUCGGUGGUUGCGAAACCUCGGUUGCCCGUCGUGUGCGGUCGUCGCGCAUCGAGGGCUCGAAAAAAUUGUCGGGCUCCGGCUCGGCUUUCAACGCGACCCCAGGUCAGGCGGGGUUACCCGCUGAAUUUAAGCAUAUCAAUAAGCGGAGGA